Molecule: ribosomal RNA, 301 nt
Filed under: uncultured bacterium
Lineage: Bacteria
Description: partial 16S ribosomal RNA
Rfam family: Bacterial small subunit ribosomal RNA
Source: RNAcentral
CAGUCGCCGCGGUAAUACGUAGGGUGCAAGCGUUAAUCGGAAUUACUGGGCGUAAAGCGUGCGCAGGCGGUUUUGUAAGUCUGUCGUGAAAUCCCCGGGCUCAACCUGGGAAUGGCGAUGGAGACUGCAAGGCUAGAAUCUGGCAGAGGGGGGUAGAAUUCCACGUGUAGCAGUGAAAUGCGUAGAGAUGUGGAGGAACACCGAUGGCGAAGGCAGCCCCCUGGGCCAAUACUGACGCUCAUGCACGAAAGCGUGGGGAGCAAACAGGAUUAGAUACCCCGGUAGUCCCUGUCUCUUAUAC